This 490-nucleotide ribosomal RNA is filed under the name uncultured bacterium. RNAcentral's name for it is "partial 16S ribosomal RNA". It matches the Rfam family "Bacterial small subunit ribosomal RNA", at positions 29 to 505 of the family's 1533-position model. The record is from RNAcentral.
AUUGAACGCUGGCGGCAUGCUUUACACAUGCAAGUCGAACGGUAACAGGCCUUCGGGUGCUGACGAGUGGCGAACGGGUGAGUAAUGCAUCGGAACGUACCCAGAGGUGGGGGAUAACGCAGCGAAAGCUGUGCUAAUACUGCAUGUGAUCUGAGGAUGAAAGCGGGGGACCGAGCAGCAAUGUUUGGCCUCGCGCCUUUGGAGCGGCCGAUGUCGGAUUAGCUAGUUGGUGGGGUAAAGGCCUACCAAGGCGACGAUCCGUAGCUGGUCUGAGAGGACGACCAGCCACACUGGGACUGAGACACGGCCCAGACUCCUACGGGAGGCAGCAGUGGGGAAUUUUGGACAAUGGGCGCAAGCCUGAUCCAGCAAUGCCGCGUGCGGGAAGAAGGCCUUCGGGUUGUAAACCGCUUUUGGCAGGAACGAAACGGUGUCCGCUAAUACCGGGCGCUAAUGACGGUACCUGCAGAAUAAGCACCGGCUAACUACG